This 82-nucleotide transfer RNA is filed under the name Albula goreensis. It matches the Rfam family "tRNA". From Rfam's summary of the family: Transfer RNA (tRNA) molecules are approximately 80 nucleotides in length. Their secondary structure includes four short double-helical elements and three loops (D, anti-codon, and T loops). Lineage: Eukaryota; Metazoa; Chordata; Actinopteri; Albuliformes; Albulidae. The record is from Rfam by way of RNAcentral.
GGUAGCGUGGCCGAGCGGUCCAAGGCGCUGGAUUUAGGCUCCAGUCUCUUCGGAGGCGAGGGUUCGAUUCCCUCCGCUGCCA